AGCAACCAGCUGGCGUCCCCCUUCUGCAAUGUCGAAGCUUUGUUCUUUUGCUCCUUGCAGUAACUCUUGCUGCUGCUCACUGUUUGGGUCUGCGCUACCUUUAUGAGCUGUAACACUCAUCUUGAAGGUCUGCAGGUUCACUCCUGAAGCCAACGAGACUAUGAACCCACCGGGAGGGAGGAACAACUCCGGAUGGAAGGAAAGAACAACUCCAGACACACUGCCUUUGAGAGCUGCAAUGCUCACCAUAAAGGUCUGCAGCUUCACUCCUGAAGCCACCGAGACCACGAAUCCACCAGAAGGAAGAAACUGUGGACACGUCCAAACAUCAGAAGUAACAAACUCCGGACACACCAUCUUUAAGAGCUGUAACACUCACCGCAAGGGUCUGCAGCUUCAUUCUUGAAGUCAGGGAGACCAAGAACCCACCAAUUCUGGACACAAUGUUUGGAGGAUGUUCACUAUCCUGAAAACAGUUGCAUGGAGCCUAAGUUAAAGCCUGAAAAAACAGCUAGGCAUGGUGGCAUGCACCUAUAGUCUGAGCUACUCAGGAGGCUGAAGUGGGAGGAUUGCUUGAGUACAGGAGUUCAAGGCUGCAGUAUGCUAUGAUCACAUCUAUGAACAGCCACUGUAUUCCAGCCUGGGCAACAUAGCUAGACCCUAUCUUAUUUAAAAAAGAAAAGAAAGGAAAAAAAGCUGGAAAAAAAUAAAAGGAAGUGCUGCAUGACACUAUUCAGGGAGAUGAGGUUAAUAGUUUUUAAGCAUGUGGUUUUCAUCCUAUUUUAUACCUUACUAUAAGGUAUAAAAGUAGAAAUAGGGACCUUGUAGAUCCAGUACUGACUUGGCAGAUAAGAGGAGAAAGCAGUCCAGAGGAGAAACCCUACUCAACGAGGGGAAGAUACUGUGCAUUGGCAGUAACAGUAACACAAAACAAGUAUGGAGGAAUAAAGUGUAAAGGGAAGAGGACAGGUACGAAAAUGAUUAAAGUGCUGUGAAGAAGUUAUAGAUCAGACCGGGUGCUGUGGCUCACGCUUGUAAUCCCAGCACUUUGGGAGGCCAAGUCGGGCAGAUCACCUGAGGUCUGGAGUUCGAGACCAGCCUGGCCAACAUGGUGAAACCCCCUCUCUACAAAAAUACAAAAAAUGAGCCAGACGUGGUGGUGCGCGCCUGUAGUUCCAGCCACUUGGGAGCUAGCACCACUGCACUUCAGACUGGGUGAGAGAGCCAGACUCCAUCUCAAAAGAAGAAAAAAAAAAGUUAAAGAUCAUAAUUCCGAAAAAAAGAAAUUAACGAAAAGCUACAGGAAAAAAAUGAGAUGGAAAAGGAAAUGGUUGACAUUCUUUUGUGAAACUGACCUCCUAGCAUUUGACUUGCUGCUAAACAAACAAAACAAAACCUUUUAAACACAUUUUUUUAAAUCGAGGCUCAAGGAAGGAGGACUUUGGCAGAAGGACCAUCAGAGACCAUAACUGGUUUCUUUUCUUUGGAAAAGAGCAGAAGGUGUAAAUGCAAACACAAGCCAGUGUUUGCAUGCUCAAUUAACAUUUGAAUUUCUUCCCCCUCCUUCAUAAAAAUAAAAAUAAUUUAUGUUGAAUUUUUGCAUCUUACCCUAUCCUUUCUCAUUUCCAUCUUCUUUGUAAUUAAUAUUAGUGGGUCAUUAUCAACAGAUCAGUAAAUGGAGACAAAAGAAAAGCAUUUGCCUCAAACUAUUUAUCAGGUCACAGAACAGAGCUGGCCUUCGAGUUUGUAACCUCUCCAUUCUUGGUCUCUGUUAUCAGACAGCCAUAAUUAACGAAGAAGACAUUCUAGACUACCUAGUACCAGUUAAUUUGGAUCUUGUAUCUGUACUAUUUAAUGGAAGAAGAUGAAACAAUAGGUAGUCCCCACCCCCAAUCAUUUGAAAUUCUCAUGCGCAGACAAGCACACUCUCAUGGUGGUCUUGCUCAACUCCUGCUGGCAGCCAAGAAGGUGAGGUGGGAGGUCAUGCAAAAUCCACCUAAUAACUACAUAACUAUUUGUUGACCAAUCCUUUAAUUGACUUUUCGACACUGAUGAAGACCAUGAGCCUGUGGAAUUACAAAAUUCAUUACCUCGCAGUGCUUAUUUUUUCUAAGGCCUGCA
This 2121-nucleotide long non-coding RNA is filed under the name Homo sapiens (human). RNAcentral's name for it is "HSALNT0316104". Lineage: Eukaryota; Metazoa; Chordata; Mammalia; Primates; Hominidae. The record is from RNAcentral.